UGGGGAAUCUUGCGCAAUGGGCGAAAGCCUGACGCAGCGACGCCGCGUGCGGGAAGAAGGCCUUCGGGUUGUAAACCGCUUUCAGGAGGGACGAAGCCACUCGGGUUAACAGCCCAGAGGGUGACGGUACCUCCAGAAGAAGCCCCGGCUAACUACGUGCCAGCAGCCGCGGUAAUACGUAGGGGGCAAGCGUUGUCCGGAUUUAUUGGGCGUAAAGCGCGUGUAGGCGGCCACGCAGGUCCGUUGUGAAAACUCGGAGCUUAACUCCGAGACGUCGAUGGAAACCGCGCGGCUAGAGUCCGGAAGAGGAGAGUGGAAUUCCUGGUGUAGCGGUGAAAUGCGCAGAUAUCAGGAAGAACACCCGUGGCGAAGGCGGCUCUCUGGGACGGUACUGACGCUGAGACGCGAAAGCGUGGGGAGCGAACAG
RNAcentral lists this ribosomal RNA (427 nucleotides) under uncultured bacterium. RNAcentral's name for it is "bacterial SSU rRNA". It matches the Rfam family "Bacterial small subunit ribosomal RNA", at positions 355 to 775 of the family's 1533-position model. The record is from RNAcentral.